This 336-nucleotide unclassified non-coding RNA is filed under the name soil metagenome. RNAcentral's name for it is "partial contains 5.8S ribosomal RNA, internal transcribed spacer 2, and large subunit ribosomal RNA". The stretch from base 1 to 120 matches the Rfam family "5.8S ribosomal RNA", at positions 35 to 154 of the family's 154-position model. The record is from RNAcentral.
GAUGAAGAACGUAGCGAAAUGCGAUACGUAAUGUGAAUUGCAGAAUUCCGUGAAUCAUCGAAUCUUUGAACGCACAUUGCGCCCGCCAGUAUUCUGGCGGGCAUGCCUGUUCGAGCGUCAUUUCAACCAUCAAGCCCCCGGCUUGUGUUGGGGACCUGCGGCUGCCGCAGGCCCUGAAAAGCAGUGGCGGGCUCGCUGUCACACCGAGCGUAGUAGCAUACAUCUCGCUCUGGGCGUGCUGCGGGUUCCGGCCGUUAAACCACCUUCAUAACCCAAGGUUGACCUCGGAUCAGGUAGGAAGACCCGCUGAACUUAAGCAUAUCAAUAAGCGGAGGA